RNAcentral lists this ribosomal RNA (796 nucleotides) under Periconia imperatae. RNAcentral describes it as "partial large subunit ribosomal RNA". It matches the Rfam family "Eukaryotic large subunit ribosomal RNA", at positions 96 to 910 of the family's 3401-position model. The record is from RNAcentral. Lineage: Eukaryota; Fungi; Ascomycota; Dothideomycetes; Pleosporales; Periconiaceae.
AAGCGGCACCAGCUCAAAUUUGAAAUCUGGCCCUUUCAGGGUCCGAGUUGUAAUUUGCAGAGGGUGCUUUGGUGUUGGCGGCGGUCUAAGUUCCUUGGAACAGGACAUCGCAGAGGGUGAGAAUCCCGUAUGUGGUCGCCCGCCUUCGCCGUGUAAAGCCCCUUCGACGAGUCGAGUUGUUUGGGAAUGCAGCUCUAAAUGGGAGGUAAAUUUCUUCUAAAGCUAAAUACCGGCCAGAGACCGAUAGCGCACAAGUAGAGUGAUCGAAAGAUGAAAAGCACUUUGGAAAGAGAGUCAAACAGCACGUGAAAUUGUUAAAAGGGAAGCGCUUGCAGCCAGACUUGCCUGUAGUUGCUCACCCGGGCUCCUGCCCGGGGCACUCUUCUGCAGGCAGGCCAGCAUCAGUUUGGGCGGUAGGACAAAGGCCUCUGACACGUAUCUCCCUUCGGGGUUAACAUAUAGGGGGGGCGCAAUGCUACCAGCCCGGACUGAGGUCCGCGCAUCUGCUAGGAUGCUGGCGUAAUGGCUGUAAGCGGCCCGUCUUGAAACACGGACCAAGGAGUCUAACAUCUAUGCGAGUGUUUGGGUGUCAAGCCCGAGCGCGUAAUGAAAGUGAACGGAGGUGGGAACCCCUCGGGGCGCACCAUCGACCGAUCCUGAUGUCUUCGGAUGGAUUUGAGUAAGAGCAUAGCUGUUGGGACCCGAAAGAUGGUGAACUAUGCUUGAAUAGGGUGAAGCCAGAGGAAACUCUGGUGGAGGCUCGCAGCGGUUCUGACGUGCAAAUCGAUCGUCAAAU